CCUACGGGAGGCAGCAGUGGGGAAUAUUGGACAAUGGGCGAAAGCCUGAUCCAGCAAUGCCGCGUGAGUGAUGAAGGCCUUAGGGUUGUAAAGCUCUUUUACCAGGGAUGAUAAUGACAGUACCUGGAGAAUAAGCUCCGGCUAACUCCGUGCCAGCAGCCGCGGUAAUACGGAGGGAGCUAGCGUUGUUCGGAAUUACUGGGCGUAAAGCGCGCGUAGGCGGCGAUUCAAGUCAGAGGUGAAAGCCCGGGGCUCAACCCCGGAACUGCCUUUGAAACUAGAUUGCUAGAAUCUUGGAGAGGUCAGUGGAAUUCCGAGUGUAGAGGUGAAAUUCGUAGAUAUUCGGAAGAACACCAGUGGCGAAGGCGACUGACUGGACAAGUAUUGACGCUGAGGUGCGAAAGCGUGGGGAGCAAACAGGAUUAGAUAACCCUGGUAGUCACGCCGUAAACGAUGAUAACUAGCUGUCCGGGCACUUGGUGCCUGGGUGGCGCAGCUAACGCAUUAAGUUAUCCGCCUGGGGAGUACGGUGCAAGAUUAAAACUUAAAUGAAAUUGAACGG
This 562-nucleotide ribosomal RNA is filed under the name uncultured bacterium. RNAcentral describes it as "bacterial SSU rRNA". It matches the Rfam family "Bacterial small subunit ribosomal RNA", at positions 338 to 917 of the family's 1533-position model. The record is from RNAcentral.